CAUGGCUGUCGUCAGCUCGUGUCGUGAGGUGUUCGGUUAAGUCCGCUAACGAGCGCAACCCUCGCUGUGUGUUAUAUGUGUCACGACAGGGACUGGCUGGGUAUUUAAGCCGGAGGAAGUGGGACGACGUCAAGUCAGCAUGGCCUUUAUAUCCUGGGCUACACACACGCUACAAUGGGAAGGGACAAUAGGUUGCGAAGCCGCGAGGCGGAGCCAAUCCAGCAAAACUUCCCUCAGUUCAGAUUGCAGGCUGCAACCCGCCUGCAUGAAGUUGGAGUUGCUAGUAAACGCAGGUCAGCCAUACUGCGUUGAAUACGUUCCCGGGGCUU
This 329-nucleotide ribosomal RNA is filed under the name uncultured Anaerolineaceae bacterium. RNAcentral's name for it is "bacterial SSU rRNA". It matches the Rfam family "Bacterial small subunit ribosomal RNA", at positions 1044 to 1382 of the family's 1533-position model. Lineage: Bacteria; Bacillati; Chloroflexota; Anaerolineae; Anaerolineales; Anaerolineaceae. The record is from RNAcentral.